GCCGGCGUAGCUCAGCCUGGUAGAGCGGGUGACUCGUAAUCACCAGGUCGAGGGUUCAAAUCCCUCCGCCGGCU
RNAcentral lists this transfer RNA (74 nucleotides) under Thermoplasmata archaeon. RNAcentral describes it as "tRNA-Thr". It matches the Rfam family "tRNA". Rfam says of the family: Transfer RNA (tRNA) molecules are approximately 80 nucleotides in length. Their secondary structure includes four short double-helical elements and three loops (D, anti-codon, and T loops). Further hydrogen bonds mediate the characteristic L-shaped molecular structure. tRNAs have two regions of fundamental functional importance: the anti-codon, which is responsible for specific mRNA codon recognition, and the 3' end, to which the tRNAs corresponding amino acid is attached (by aminoacyl-tRNA synthetases). tRNAs cope with the degeneracy of the genetic code in two manners: having more than one tRNA (with a specific anti-codon) for a particular amino acid; and 'wobble' base-pairing, i.e. permitting non-standard base-pairing at the 3rd anti-codon position. Lineage: Archaea; Methanobacteriati; Thermoplasmatota; Thermoplasmata. The record is from RNAcentral.